RNAcentral lists this ribosomal RNA (265 nucleotides) under Cytobacillus firmus. RNAcentral's name for it is "partial 16S ribosomal RNA". It matches the Rfam family "Bacterial small subunit ribosomal RNA", at positions 1 to 253 of the family's 1533-position model. Lineage: Bacteria; Bacillati; Bacillota; Bacilli; Caryophanales; Bacillaceae. The record is from RNAcentral.
UUAUAUGGAGAGUUUGAUCCUGGCUCAGGACGAACGCUGGCGGCGUGCCUAAUACAUGCAAGUCGAGCGGACGGAUGGGAGCUUGCUCCCAGACCGUCAGCGGCGGACGGGUGAGUAACACGUGGGCAACCUGCCUGUAAGACUGGGAUAACUCCGGGAAACCGGGGCUAAUACCGGAUAACUCUUUUCCUCACAUGAGGAAAAGCUGAAAGAUGGCAUCUCGCUAUCACUUACAGAUGGGCCCGCGGCGCAUUAGCUAGUUGGU